Xiphophorus couchianus (Monterrey platyfish) is the source of this 610-nucleotide long non-coding RNA. RefSeq lists it as uncharacterized. The record is from RefSeq and is a predicted model, not a curated record. NCBI's taxonomy places the organism in Eukaryota, Metazoa, Chordata, Actinopteri, Cyprinodontiformes, Poeciliidae. The transcript is spliced from 2 exons.
GUAACAUAGUUGAAAUGGUUCAGGUUAAAUCCUGCUAAAAUGCACCAUCUGCUGGUAAAACGGGGUAUUGCAUUCACCCUAGAAAGAGCGGGGUAUUAUGGGUAAUCCUCAGAGCCAUGAGGAUCACUGUCGAGGAGUUUCUUUCAUGCCAGAGACUGACUUUACCUCGGUGCCCAUGUGUGAAAUGCAGGUAUGUUUUACUAAAUCUCUGUAGCAGAUGGCUAAUAUAAGGCCAUUUUAUAUUAAUAGUUUUAUAUAGAUAUGGUUAAUGUUUUUGCAUUGUUCCAAGAUGCAGUUCGUAUAAGCUAAAAUAUAAAAAUGGCAUCUAGUAAAUUAAAUGUCAGCAUUUUAUUUUAUUUUUCAGAGCAUUUUAAUUAAUUGUGUUACUUUCUUUAAAAAGGACACUCACUGGUUGUUCCGUUGAUGCAAACCAAAUCCACUAUACGAUCACUGUAAUUUUCAAUUAUUUUAUUUUGGUUACUGUAUUAUGGGUAAUCCUCAGAGCCAUGAGGAUCACUGUCGAGGAGUUUCUUUCAUGCCAGAGACUGACUUUACCUCGGUGCCCAUGUGUGAAAUGCAGGUGGAGAAAUAAAGAAAACAACUGAUGCCA